Molecule: transfer RNA, 63 nt
Filed under: Pheletes quercus
Lineage: Eukaryota; Metazoa; Arthropoda; Insecta; Coleoptera; Elateridae
Description: tRNA-Cys
Source: RNAcentral
GGUCUUGUAGUCAAAAAAUGAUUUCAAAUUGCAAGUUUGAAGGUAGAUAUUAUCUUAAGGCUU